This 1007-nucleotide long non-coding RNA is filed under the name Equus caballus (horse). RNAcentral's name for it is "lncRNA (ENSECAG00000052738.1)". Lineage: Eukaryota; Metazoa; Chordata; Mammalia; Perissodactyla; Equidae. The record is from RNAcentral.
AACAUAGAAGGUAGAAGUCUUGUUAAUAUGCAAAUUGUGGAAGAGUUGACUGCUGAAGCAUUACCUUCUGAGCAGCUUAUUUUGUCAACUUGAGAAACCCACAGGCUAUGAGUCUUCUGGUCAUGUGGCUUUAAGUCACUUAACUUGGUGCAUGCCCUUUCUAACUUGACCUUCUGCAAGAUGCUGACAUCCGGGUGAUUUUCUGGGCAUCUGCAGCUCCCUGGCCUCCCUUUCUGGGCGAUCCUUGCUGCUUCUUGGUGAAGAAAUUGAGACGUUAAGGAAGAGCACCAGACAAUUGAGCAUAAACAGCAAAUGCAAGAUUCAAACCCAUGCCCAUGACCCCGGAGCUAUUAACCACCGUGCUCAAAUACCUCCCUGCUUGGGGCCUGGUAGAACUGAGCAAGACCAAACACAAAGAUGUGACAUUGGCAGAUGUGACGCUGGCGAUUGAAAGCUGAGACUUGUAUAAAGACUCAAAGGAGUGGAAGAUGUCAAGACAUCUUGCUCAUCUCUCUGCCUGUGAACAUAUCUGAGUGGGACCCUCGGCAACUGGACCUUUAUUCUGUUGUGGCCUUGGCCCUCAUUUCCCUGAUGUCCUUCUUCUCGGAUACGCUUGGAUGGCUCAGAUCCUGUAGAUUUUAAAACCUCAAAGCCUACUCUCUAAACACUGCCUUCCAACCGGUGGCCAAGUGUUUGUCUGUCCUCCUUCACAGUGUACCUGGCGCCCAUCCCUGCCUUUCUGCAUCUUCUGCCCCUGCCUUGUUUCAAGUUCUCACCCCCUCCUUCAAGAGACCCCAUUGUGAGCCUUCCGCCUCCGGUCCCUGGCCUUUGAGGCUCUCUUGCACACUGGCACCAGAUUCGUCUUCCCAAAGCUUGGCUUUGGUGGUGUCAUGCUUCUUCAAAACCUCUGCUGCUUCUCAUUGGGUAAGACAAACGUCUUAGCUUGGCAUCGGAUGAUGUUGCAACAGUAUUUCCCCACGACCUAGUCUCCUCUGACUCAAAGCAAC